UACGUAGGGUGCAAGCGUUGUCCGGAAUUAUUGGGCGUAAAGAGCUCGUAGGCGGUCUGUCGCGUCUGCUGUGAAAACUCGGGGCUUAACCCCGGGCCUGCAGUGGGUACGGGCAGACUAGAGUGCGGUAGGGGAGACUGGAAUUCCUGGUGUAGCGGUGAAAUGUGCAGAUAUCAGGAGGAACACCGGUGGCGAAGGCGGGUCUCUGGGCCGUAACUGACGCUGAGGAGCGAAAGCAUGGGGAGCGAACAGG
This 253-nucleotide ribosomal RNA is filed under the name uncultured bacterium. Its description in RNAcentral is "partial 16S ribosomal RNA". It matches the Rfam family "Bacterial small subunit ribosomal RNA", at positions 524 to 776 of the family's 1533-position model. The record is from RNAcentral.